CUUGCUCCCUGAUGUUAGCGGCGGACGGGUGAGUAACACGUGGGUAACCUGCCUGUAAGACUGGGAUAACUCCGGGAAACCGGGGCUAAUACCGGAUGGUUGUCUGAACCGCAUGGUUCAGACAUAAAAGGUGGCUUCGGCUACCACUUACAGAUGGACCCGCGGCGCAUUAGCUAGUUGGUGAGGUAACGGCUCACCAAGGCGACGAUGCGUAGCCGACCUGAGAGGGUGAUCGGCCACACUGGGACUGAGACACGGCCCAGACUCCUACGGGAGGCAGCAGUAGGGAAUCUUCCGCAAUGGACGAAAGUCUGACGGAGCAACGCCGCGUGAGUGAUGAAGGUUUUCGGAUCGUAAAGCUCUGUUGUUAGGGAAGAACAAGUGCCGUUCAAAUAGGGCGGCACCUUGACGGUACCUAACCAGAAAGCCACGGCUAACUACGUGCCAGCAGCCGCGGUAAUACGUAGGUGGCAAGCGUUGUCCGGAAUUAUUGGGCGUAAAGGGCUCGCAGGCGGUUUCUUAAGUCUGAUGUGAAAGCCCCCGGCUCAACCGGGGAGGGUCAUUGGAAACUGGGGAACUUGAGUGCAGAAGAGGAGAGUGGAAUUCCACGUGUAGCGGUG
This 620-nucleotide ribosomal RNA is filed under the name Bacillus siamensis. RNAcentral's name for it is "bacterial SSU rRNA". It matches the Rfam family "Bacterial small subunit ribosomal RNA", at positions 79 to 683 of the family's 1533-position model. Lineage: Bacteria; Bacillati; Bacillota; Bacilli; Caryophanales; Bacillaceae. The record is from RNAcentral.